UUCGUUAUAACCUUUGCAAUGCAUAAAAAGUAUGCACCACUUCAUUUGUUUUAUGCAUUCAAUGGCAUAUCUGGCGUUUAUUAUAGUUUCCGUGAAUAUAAUGUCAUUUAUGUUAUUCUUGGGACUUAAUUAAAUUGUUAUUAGCCAACCGACAGCUGCCGUCAUGGCGGAGUUCUAAAACCUCUUUUCCCGUUCGCAAUUUGGUCACAAAGUUUCUAAAAGUGCCUGCCGGGGUAACUCCGGGACCACAAUCGAAAGAAAGCAGAUUAUUUAUCUGUCUUCAGUUCAUCGGAAUCCAUGAAGCACCACCGAUCUUGCCACCGAUUGCGAUUUUUCCAUUAACACAAAUUAUCAUCAUCUGAAAGAUGCAGCACACUCCAGUUGAUCCGGAGAACCUCAAGGAGCACGCAUACAAGCGGAACAUAUUUCAACGUGGUUCAACGACGGCAAAGUUGUGAGAAGACUUACCGCCUGCAUAUUUAACUACGUACUUAACUGUGUUUAUUUUAUUGUAACUCAAAGGAAAUGAAAAUAAAGAUGUAUAGUUUUCUUUUCUCUCUCCAAUCAAACUUGUUGUAUUAUGCUUUUCUGUUUUGGUCAAGAAAAAACAAAAAAAAAAACAAACAAAAUUGAAUAUGCAUUCCUUAACGAAUAUAAUCGAUGUAUGCAUUUCAAUGCAUAAACGUCUCUUACAUACACAGAAAAAAAUUGUCCGGUAAACGCGACCACAAAACUGUGUUCAAAUCUACCAUGGCAUAUUAUGGCAUAAGUAACAGACUGUAGAUUCAAAUUAACUGAUUUGUUGUGAAUAUUACUAUGCCUCCGCCAAAAAUGUGGAAGUUAUGAUGACUAUUAUUUGCAGUUAAAAAUACCAUGUGUUGUAGUAUCAAAUCUACUACUUUUGUGGUAAUAUUUACCAUGCGCAUCGAACGUUCUUACCAUGACGUAUCUGUUUUACUAUGUUUAUUGUCAACCCAAGCGCAUUGCACCGACGUUUUUCAGCAGACAUUAAUUUCGUUCAAAUUUACCACAAUAAUGGUAAUUAACCGUGCCGAAGGAGGUAGGAUUGACGUUUGGCCAUUUUGUGAAAAUAAAAGUAGCAGUUCGUUUGCAGAAGGCUUUACUUUCGCCUAUAUUUGCUAAUUUAACUUAUUUUUGGUAAUAUUUUGGUCAAAAAGCGAAAAAAACGGUAAACUAGAAGCCCCGGUGUGAAGGUAAGUUUGAAUAUUCCAUCUCAAUCAAUGCAACUGAACAUAUUUUUUCAUUUCGUUCGCAGGUGAAGACCGGAAGGUUGAGUUUUGGAAUGGAUGUUUUUUUUUCCUCGGAGGUAAGAACGUAAUUGAAAAAAUCAGAUGCAAAUUAAUAAUUGCAACAAAUUUGUAGUUACAGAACUCCUCAACAAAAGUGAAUCUUGUGGUCGUCUACAGGAGCACAGAAGAUUAUUGGAAAUAUUUCAAGUUGCGGUCUGUAUAACAUCCAAGAGUGAAUUGCGAGAUAACUACACCAAUGUGUGUGAGCUGAUCCUGAUACGAGCGAAUAAAAAUAACAAAUCAAUAAAACGUAUUAAUACCGAACAACAAAUUGAUCAUUUGAUUUCUAUUUGUAUACAAUUAUGAAUACACCACAAUACCAUACGAUCAUAAACAAAACUAACAGUAAAACAAACUUCAAUUGUAGUCAAAUAUACUAUGGUCGGAAAAAUCUAGUUAAUGUAAAUUUCGUUAAUUCGACUAUUAACAUGGUAAAAUGGGAAGACCUCAAAAUACUACAAACCUAGUAAAAAAUACUGAGAGAAGAGAAAAUGAGGGCAUAGUAAAAAUGACAACAUUCAUUAUUACAAUAAUAUCGAUAUGUAGUCUGCUGAAAAUUGCAGGUGCUUUGCGCUUAAUUUAACCCCCUGAA
Molecule: long non-coding RNA, 1902 nt
Organism: Aedes albopictus (Asian tiger mosquito)
Lineage: Eukaryota; Metazoa; Arthropoda; Insecta; Diptera; Culicidae
Exons: 3
Source: RefSeq, a predicted model, not a curated record